RNAcentral lists this ribosomal RNA (276 nucleotides) under uncultured bacterium. RNAcentral describes it as "partial 16S ribosomal RNA". It matches the Rfam family "Bacterial small subunit ribosomal RNA", at positions 80 to 354 of the family's 1533-position model. The record is from RNAcentral.
UUUCUCCGCCGGCGACCGGCGCACGGGUGAGUAACACGUAUGCAACCUGCCCCUGUCAGGGGGACAACCCGCCGAAAGGCGGGCUAAACCCGCGUACAUGCCACCGGGGCAUCCCGGAGGCAGGAAAAGGCUUCGGCCGGACAGGGAUGGGCAUGCGGCGCAUUAGGCAGUAGGCGGGGUAACGGCCCACCUAACCGACGAUGCGUAGGGGUUCUGAGAGGAAGGUCCCCCACACUGGUACUGAGACACGGACCAGACUCCUACGGAAGGCAGCAG